AAGAAUAUUAACAAUAGGGGUUUUACCAAUCGUGUUUGAAUUUAUUUAGUCGUUUUGAAACAUGACUAAUAAGAAUGCUUUUAUAUUGAUUUAAAUGUUUGUCUCAGUUAUAUUUAAAUAUAGAUAUCAAUUUAUAAAGAUCGAGUGCGUGUAAAAUUCCUACAAAUAAAGAUCAGCUUAGGUUAACACGUGUUUGACGUUUUCCUUGCUCGUUGCAUAGAACGCGUGCUAUCAAGCAAGAAAGUACACGUGUUCACACUGAUGGUCAGUAGGUCAAGGCUCACUGACUCUCACUGUAAAUCUUUUUCGUACCACCUCUUUACUCGAUCUUUUUGUUGACGUAAUAGACCUUGUGAUCUCUUUCUUUUAUGAGUUACACAAAUGUUUAGGUCAAUAACAUUCAAAUAUAAUGAAACACGUAACUAAAACUAUCUUAUGAUUUAAAUAUAAUUCAAGGAAUUUUUAUUUUAAAGUAUAAGAUAUAACUGGCAAGAUCAUGAUAUGAACGACAGGAUUUGCUAUUCAGUUUCAUACAUUUAAAAAAAAGUUAUGACUCAAAAUACAUGCUACAUGACAGAUCUAAUAAACUACAUUAUAGGCACAGUUCGUAAAUAUUAUCGAUGACUGAUUCUACGAAGAUAAAGAGCAUAAAAAAAAAUCAAGAGGCAUGCAAAUGUGUUGUAGCCAUAGUUGUAGACUAUGUACGUGUCAGUGUUUUAUCUAAUAUCUACUGUAUACCCCAUUCUAGAAUAUUUAUGAUUUAAAAUAUAUAUAAAAUUAAUUAGAUCCAUAUUUUAAAUCGUGCAAUCUAACUUUGUAAGAACCAUCUUCGUUAAUUAUAAUGUCUAUAAUGCAAUUUGUGUAAGUACGGUAGUCAAGUAGAUGAGGUCACGAGAUGAACCAACACAUCCUCACAUCAUUUGUUCAAAUGCUGCACACUGCUAUAUGGUAUCGAAAUACUAGCGUUAAUAAAACAAACAAUUUAAAUAUUCAACAAGAGACACUACUAAUACAGUAUUAGAGAAGAUUAUAGUCCUGAGGGGGGGGGGGGGGGAGAAAGACUGUGCCGCUGGUCAAUGUGUAGGCUACCCGGUCACGUGGCUUACUUACAAUUGACCAACCAGAGACAGGUCUACAUGAUAGGCUACAGCCUAUUGCAUCAUUAAGAAAAAUAGCGCCAGAACCAAACACCAUGACCAUCCCAUUCCAGUCAUAGUACUCAUAGAUCUACUUCAAGAUUGUGUUGAUUUGUGAUUAACUCGACUCUAUUCUAACAACUUUGGAAUGUGUGCGUCAAGCAAAGACUCUCGGAACCAAAGAGUGAAAGAAUGAUGGCAUCACUAUGAUCACUUCUUGCUGGAUCUGUCCAAGAGUCAAUGAGUACAGAUCUAUCCAGUGAAAACAGCAUUAAGAGAACAAUAGUAUGGAUUAUAACUUGGCUGGACUGGACAUGGCACAAACAGAAAAUAAAUGUAUUGAAUUUUCAAUCCAAAUUAUGGAUAUUAGAUUAUUCAAGUGAGUUACCCAAGUCUGUCAAAUAACUUAGAGAAAUUACUUGAACUUGGCACAUGUGAUGGCACAGAAAUCGUAAAAAAAGAAGGAUGAUGGCUUCAACUCUGAAGGAACAUCCCAAACAUGUAAAACAUUUUACAAACAAACCUAAUCAAAGUUUAUAAAUGUUUAAAAAAAGUAAGAUGCACAAGCAAAUUUAUUUACAUACUACAGAUAUUAGAACUAAUGACUAAUGGAAAAAAAAAAACUACCUAUCUAGACUUAACAACAAAGAAAUAAGUAAAUAUAAUAAUUUAAACAUGUGCUGGAUCUUGUUAGUUUAAUAACAUACUAUGUAAGUGCAUUACAUAAAACAUGUAGUGGUUCUUGGUUGUUGAUUACCGGUACUGUGCUUUUUUCAAAUACACAUUAGUUUUGACUGUGACUCUCGCCUCACCGUGGAACAUAUCCUCGUUGAUUGCCCCAGAUACCAGGAUGUCAGGGCGAAAUAUUUUAGAGUCACUAAUUUAAAUACACUAUUUGAUGGUGUUGACCCUGGGAAGGUACUGGACUUUAUCCGGGAAGUGGGGCUAUCUACGAAGAUCUGAUUUAUGAAUUUGUGAACAUGCACUAUUUACAUUAGAUUUUUACCAAAUAUUUAAAUUUUUACUACCUUUACUAUUUUAACUGAAUAGACCUUGAUUUUAAUGAUAUGACUGUAUAGAAUCUGGCCCUUGUUGUUUAGAGAGAGAGGGAUCCUUAGGGGACUGCAGGCACGACAUGGCCUAAAUUGUGCAGAUGUGCCUCAAAUCAAAAAUCAAAUCAAAUCAAUCACAUUAGUUUUGUCAUAUGUUAAUUAUAUAUAUUUAUGUUCACCAUUAAUUAUUUCGUUCAGCUAUAGCAACAUAAGGAAGGCAUGGUGGCUAAGUGGCUUCCAGACCCGAAUUAGAAUCUCAGUGAAAAUUGGGAUUUUUAAGACACCCUAACUCUGAUGGAUACUGGUACCUGAUUUUAGCUGGGGAAAGUAAAAACAGUUGUUUAGCUAGCUACAUGACACCCUGCUUGUUAACCAUUAGCCAAAGAAACUGAUGGCCUUAACAUCAUCUGCCCUAUAGAUGCUAAGUUUGAAAAGGGGAACUUUACUUUUAUUACAACAUAAGGUUAUAAGUUGUAAGUUACAGAUGAUGUACCAUAUGAGCAUCAUUGUUGUUUACUGGCUUUUGAACAGUAGCUUGAAACAUUUGCUCUUACUUACAUAGAAUAUUCACUGUUAAAAAAUUAUGAAUAUGAUAGUGCAGCUAGUUACUCUGCUCAAAAUUGAAAAAAAUAUUUUGUUGAAAUUAUAAACAUGAGCUACCGGUAUAUAUAAAUGUAUAGUUUUCAUUGUUGAGCACACACUUUUUCUUUGGUACUGGGUAACGUACAUGACCUAUAUUUUUUUGAAAUAUUAUCAUCUAAAAUUAGGCGAGGUCUUGAGAAUAUUUACCUCGAACAGACUCAGCUUUGGGUUUUUGUGCAUGUAGACCCUAUUGAUUAAAAAGCACCAGUCUCUAAUUAUAUUUUACUUGUUUAAAUUUAUAUAUUUAUGGUUAUUAAUUAUUCUUUGUAUUUAUUUUUUAAUUUUUUUUUUGUAAAGUAAGCACUGGUAUUUUUCUAAAAGUAUGUUUCACAUUUAUUUCAUUUUAAACAAAUUAAGUCAUUUACUUAAUGUUCAAUUAUGUUCUAAAUGUAUGUUUUUAAAAUUUCAGUGUUUAUAUUGCUAACAUUUCACAAACUUGUUACAGGUAGCUUAUUUUUGUUUUGGGUCAUUUUUUCUUUAGAACUACCGGUACAACAUAAUCUGAUGUUAAUUUUUUUUUAAUUUGUUUCAUGAUUGUCAAAACAGUUUGCUUUUCAAUUUACAUACAGCAGGCCCAUACUUUGUUUAGAUAAUUCUGAAUUACAUUCUAUAUAUAAUUUAUAGGUUUCUGUAUAGGCUAUUCAAGCUUUUGUACAUGUUAAAAUUUCAUAAAUUUGGUAGCCAUUAUAUUUUUUAAAAAAUUUUAUGGUAUAAUAAGUACUUAUUGUAUUUUUAAAAAUAUAAGCAUCCAUAUUUUAAAAACUUAUUUCUAAUUUGCCAUUUUAAGCAAUUUGUUAUUACAAUUAAUAUUUAAAUGAAUAUGCUUUUACUUAUUUCAGUGUACAUAUUGCUUACAUUCCACCAACUCAAUACUUUUUUUUGUUACUUUUAUUUUUUUAUAUUUUUUUUACAUAAUUACAAAAGCUAAGUUGUUGUUUUUUUGUUGUUGUUGUUGUUUUUAUGAUUGUCAAAACUGUUUGCUUUAAACAUAAUUUUUAUACAGCACUUAUACUUUCUGUAGAUGAUCCUGAAUUAUGUUCUUUAUAAAUUUGUUAUAGAUUUUCAUGUUAUCAUUCACAGCAUUGCUAACAUUAACAUUUUAUAAUGCAAUAAACUAUUAAUUUCAACUAGUAAAUUGUUUAUGUAAUUAUUUAUGUCAUUUUAUGCCAUUUCAGCUAGAGCUCAGUGUCAUUUCUUACUGGCCUCAUCUGGGCCCCUAACUGAACCCAGACUCAGCCCUAAGGGCACCCGUU
Molecule: long non-coding RNA, 4083 nt
Organism: Biomphalaria glabrata
Lineage: Eukaryota; Metazoa; Mollusca; Gastropoda; Planorbidae
Exons: 4
Source: RefSeq, a predicted model, not a curated record